AGCAUGUGGUUUAAUUCGAAGCAACGCGAAGAACCUUACCAGGUCUUGACAUCCCGAUGCUAUUUCUAGAGAUAGAAAGUUACUUGGUACAUCGGUGACAGGUGGUGCAUGGUUGUCGUCAGCUCGUGUCGUGAGAUGUUGGGUUAAGUCCCGCAACGAGCGCAACCCCUAUUGUUAGUUGCCAUCAUUCAGUUGGGCACUCUAGCGAGACUGCCGGUAAUAAACCGGAGGAAGUGGGAUGACGUCAAAUCAUCAUGCCCCUUAUGACCUGGGCUACACACGUGCUACAAUGGUUGGUACAACGAGUUGCGAGUCGGUGACGGCGAGCUAAUCUCUUAAAGCCAAUCUCAGUUCGGAUUGUAGGCUGCAACUCGCCUACAUGAAGUCGGAAUCGCUAGUAAUCGCGGAUCAGCACGCCGCGGUGAAUACGUUCCCGGGCCUU
RNAcentral lists this ribosomal RNA (442 nucleotides) under uncultured Streptococcus sp. RNAcentral's name for it is "bacterial SSU rRNA". It matches the Rfam family "Bacterial small subunit ribosomal RNA", at positions 936 to 1382 of the family's 1533-position model. Lineage: Bacteria; Bacillati; Bacillota; Bacilli; Lactobacillales; Streptococcaceae. The record is from RNAcentral.